GAUGAACGCUGGCGGCGUGCCUAAUACAUGCAAGUCGAGCGAACAGAUGAGGAGCUUGCUCCUCUGACGUUAGCGACGGACGGGUGAGUAACACGUGGAUAACCUACCUAUAAUACUGGGAUAACUUCGGGAAACCGGAUCGAAUACCGGAUAAUAGAUUGAACCGCAUGGUUCAAUAGUGAAAGACGGUUUUGCUGUCACUUAUAGAUGGAUCCGCGCCGCAUUAGCUAGUUGGUAAGGUAACGGCAUACCAAGGCAACGAUGCGUAGCCGACCUGAGAGGGUGAGCAGGCACCCUGGAACUGAGACACGGUCCAGACCACUACGGGAGGCAGCAGAAGGGAAUCGUACACGAGGGGCGGAAGCCUAACCGAGCACCGCCGCGUAAGUGAUAAAGGUCUUCGGAUCGUAAAAGUAUGUUGUUAGUAAGGGGCAAAUGUGUGAGUAACUAGGCACGUCUUGAAGGUACCGAAUCAGAAAGCAACGGCUAACUCCGUG
Molecule: ribosomal RNA, 497 nt
Filed under: uncultured bacterium
Lineage: Bacteria
Description: partial 16S ribosomal RNA
Rfam family: Bacterial small subunit ribosomal RNA
Source: RNAcentral